Molecule: ribosomal RNA, 492 nt
Filed under: uncultured bacterium
Lineage: Bacteria
Description: partial 16S ribosomal RNA
Rfam family: Bacterial small subunit ribosomal RNA
Source: RNAcentral
AGUGAACGCUGGCGGUAGGCCUAACACAUGCAAGUCGAACGGCAGCACAGUAAGAGCUUGCUCUUACGGGUGGCGAGUGGCGGACGGGUGAGGAAUACAUCGGAAUCUACUUUUUCGUGGGGGAUAACGUAGGGAAACUUACGCUAAUACCGCAUACGACCUACGGGUGAAAGCAGGGGAUCUUCGGACCUUGCGCGAUUGAAUGAGCCGAUGUCGGAUUAGCUAGUUGGCGGGGUAAAGGCCCACAAAGGCGACGAUCCGUAGCUGGUCUGAGAGGAUGAUCAGCCACACUGGAACUGAGACACGGUCCAGACUCCUACGGGAGGCAGCAGAGGGGAAUAUUAGACAAUGGGCGCAAGCCUGAUCCAGCCAUACCGCGUGGGUGAAGAAGGCCUUCGGGUUGUAAAGCCCUUUUGUUGGGAAAGAAAAGCAGCAGGUUAAUACCCCGCUGUUCUGACGGUACCCAAAGAAUAAGCACCGGCUAACUUCGUG